GGGGUUGUAGUUCAGUGGCAGAAUGCUUGCCUAGCAUGUGGGAGGUCCUGGGUUCGAUCCCCAGCACCA
This 69-nucleotide transfer RNA is filed under the name Ictidomys tridecemlineatus (thirteen-lined ground squirrel). Its description in RNAcentral is "Spermophilus tridecemlineatus (thirteen-lined ground squirrel) tRNA". It matches the Rfam family "tRNA". From Rfam's summary of the family: Transfer RNA (tRNA) molecules are approximately 80 nucleotides in length. Lineage: Eukaryota; Metazoa; Chordata; Mammalia; Rodentia; Sciuridae. The record is from Rfam by way of RNAcentral.